AGUAAUACAUAAGUAACCUGCCCUAGACAGGGGGAGUAACUAUUGGAAACGAAUAGCUAAGACCGCAUAGGUACGGACACUGCAUGGUGACCGUAUUAAAAGUGCCUCAAAGCACUGGUAGAGGAUGGACUUAUGGCGCAUUAGCUGGUUGGCGGGGUAACGGCCCACCAAGGCGACGAUGCGUAGCCGACCUGAGAGGGUGACCGGCCACACUGGGACUGAGACACGGCCCAG
RNAcentral lists this ribosomal RNA (234 nucleotides) under uncultured bacterium. RNAcentral's name for it is "partial 16S ribosomal RNA". It matches the Rfam family "Bacterial small subunit ribosomal RNA", at positions 109 to 334 of the family's 1533-position model. The record is from RNAcentral.